AAAAGAAAGGAAUGAGGGCGGACGAUGAUUCAAUAAUCUUAUUUUAUGCGCAAAUAUUUUUGUGAAAAAAAUAGGAUUAGUCUGUCCACAUUCAUUGAUUAAGAGAAAGGUCAUCAGCAUGGCUUUCUUAUAUAUGCCGUUAGCGCGACGGCUGCCUUUUUAGGUUCGCGCUCUGACUAAUCCUUCCAAUUUUAAUUGGAGGGAUUUUUUU
This 211-nucleotide small RNA is filed under the name Kurthia massiliensis. RNAcentral's name for it is "Bacillus sRNA ncr1575". It matches the Rfam family "Bacillus sRNA ncr1575". The record is from RNAcentral. Lineage: Bacteria; Bacillati; Bacillota; Bacilli; Caryophanales; Caryophanaceae.